CUCUAUCACUCCUACGGGAGGCAGCAGUGGGGAAUAUUGCACAAUGGGCGCAAGCCUGAUGCAGCCAUGCCGCGUGUAUGAAGAAGGCCUUCGGGUUGUAAAGUACUUUCAGCAGUGAGGAAGGCAGGUACGUUAAUAGCGUGCUUGUUUGACGUUAGCUGCAGAAGAAGCACCGGCUAACUCCGUGCCAGCAGCCGCGGUAAUACGGAGGGUGCGAGCGUUAAUCGGAAUUACUGGGCGUAAAGCGCAUGCAGGUGGUUUGUUAAGUCAGAUGUGAAAGCCCGGGGCUCAACCUCGGAAUUGCAUUUGAAACUGGCAGACUAGAGUACUGUAGAGGGGGUAGAAUUUCAGGUGUAGCGGUGAAAUGCGUAGAGAUCUGAAGGAAUACCAGUGGCGAAGGCGGCCCCCUGGACAAAGACUGACGCUCAGAUGCGAAAGCGUGGGGAGCAAACAGGAUUAGAUACCCUGGUAG
This 472-nucleotide ribosomal RNA is filed under the name uncultured bacterium. RNAcentral describes it as "bacterial SSU rRNA". It matches the Rfam family "Bacterial small subunit ribosomal RNA", at positions 328 to 793 of the family's 1533-position model. The record is from RNAcentral.